RNAcentral lists this ribosomal RNA (245 nucleotides) under Escherichia coli. RNAcentral's name for it is "partial 23S ribosomal RNA". It matches the Rfam family "Bacterial large subunit ribosomal RNA", at positions 148 to 431 of the family's 2925-position model. Lineage: Bacteria; Pseudomonadati; Pseudomonadota; Gammaproteobacteria; Enterobacterales; Enterobacteriaceae. The record is from RNAcentral.
CUAUCAUUAACUGAAUCCAUAGGUUAAUGAGGCGAACCGGGGGAACUGAAACAUCUAAGUACCCCGAGGAAAAGAAAUCAACCGAGAUUCCCCCAGUAGCGGCGAGCGAACGGGGAGCAGCCCAGAGCCUGAAUCAGUGUGUGUGUUAGUGGAAGCGUCUGGAAAGGCGCGCGAUACAGGGUGACAGCCCCGUACACAAAAAUGCACAUACUGUGAGCUCGAUGAGUAGGGCGGGACACGUGGUA